AACGAACGCUGGCGGCAUGCCUAACACAUGCAAGUCGAACGAAGCCUUCGGGCUUAGUGGCGCACGGGUGCGUAACGCGUGGGAAUCUGCCCUUGGGUUCGGAAUAACAGUUAGAAAUGACUGCUAAUACCGAAUGAUGUCUUCGGACCAAAGAUUUAUCGCCCAAGGAUGAGCCCGCGUCGGAUUAGCUAGUUGGUGAGGUAAAAGGCUCACCAAGGCGACGAUCCGUAGCUGGUCUGAGAGGAUGAUCAGCCACACUGGGACUGAGACACGGCCCAGACUCCUACGGGAGGCAGCAUGGGGAAUAUUGGACAA
RNAcentral lists this ribosomal RNA (315 nucleotides) under uncultured bacterium. RNAcentral describes it as "bacterial SSU rRNA". It matches the Rfam family "Bacterial small subunit ribosomal RNA", at positions 29 to 371 of the family's 1533-position model. The record is from RNAcentral.